UAGCGUAUAUUAAAGUUGUUGCGGUAAAAAAGCUCGUAGUUGGAUUUCUGUUGAGGGCGACCGGUCCAUACAACGUAUGCGUAUCUGGCUCGGCCUCGGCAUCCUCUCGAUAGACGUUUCUGCGCUUGAUUGCGUGGAGCGGAUCUCGGGACUUUUACUUUGAGGAAAUUAGAGUGUUCACGGCAGGCUAUCGCCAGAAUACAUUAGCAUGGAAUAAUACUAUAGGAUCUUGAUUCUAUUUUGUUGGUUUCUAGAAUUGAGAUAAUGAUUAAUAGGGACAAUUGGGGGCAUUCGUAUCAACACGUC
This 306-nucleotide ribosomal RNA is filed under the name Amoebophrya sp. RNAcentral describes it as "SSU rRNA". It matches the Rfam family "Eukaryotic small subunit ribosomal RNA", at positions 595 to 906 of the family's 1831-position model. Lineage: Eukaryota; Dinophyceae; Syndiniales; Amoebophryaceae. The record is from RNAcentral.